Molecule: ribosomal RNA, 454 nt
Filed under: uncultured bacterium
Lineage: Bacteria
Description: bacterial SSU rRNA
Rfam family: Bacterial small subunit ribosomal RNA
Source: RNAcentral
GAACGGCAUCGCGGGAAAGCUUGCUUUCCUGGCGGCGAGUGGCGAACGGGUGAGUAACACAUCGGAACGUACCGGCUAGUGGGGGAUAACCCGUCGAAAGACGGGCUAAUACCGCAUACGCUCUUCGGAGGAAAGCAGGGGACCUUCGAGCCUUGCGCUAGUCGAGCGGCCGAUGUCCGAUUAGCUAGUUGGUGGGGUAAAGGCCUACCAAGGCGACGAUCGGUAGCGGGUCUGAGAGGACGAUCCGCCACACUGGGACUGAGACACGGCCCAGACUCCUACGGGAGGCAGCAGUGGGGAAUCUUGGACAAUGGGGGCAACCCUGAUCCAGCAAUGCCGCGUGGGUGAAGAAGGCCUUCGGGUUGUAAAGCCCUUUCGGCAGGGAAGAAAUCGGCGGGGCGAAUAACCCUGCUGGAUGACGGUACCUGCAGAAGAAGCACCGGCUAACUACGUG